Molecule: non-coding RNA, 815 nt
Filed under: Pagastia sp.
Lineage: Eukaryota; Metazoa; Arthropoda; Insecta; Diptera; Chironomidae
Source: RNAcentral
AUGUUUUAUUCUUGCUAAAUAAUUUACUUUAAAAUUAUUUUACAUGUAAAGUUUUUUGUGAAUUUAUUAUAAUUUCUUAAAGAAAUAAUUUAACAAUAAAAUAUUUUAUUUAUUCGCAGUAAUUAAUAUUAUAAAAUAAAAGAAAUUUUGAUAUAGUAAUUUUUAUUAGUAUUGGUCAAAUUUGUGCCAGCUACCGCGGUUAUACAAAUAAUACAAGUAAAUUUUAUUAGUAUUAGUUAAAUGUAUUAUUAAAAAAUAAAUAAAAAUUUUUUAGGUGAAAUUUUAAAAUUUUUAUUAUUUUUAUUAUAAAAAUUAUUUAAGCUAUGAAAUUUUAAAAUUAAACUAGGAUUAGAUACCCUAUUAUUUAAAAAGUAAAAUAAAAAUGCUAGAGUAGUAUUAGAUAUAAUCUUGAAACUUAAAGAAUUUGGCGGUGUUUUAGUCUAUUCAGAGGAAUUUGUUCUGUAAUCGAUAACCCACGUAUAUCUUACUUAAGUUUGUAAUCAAUUUGUAUAUCGCCGUCAUCAGAAUAUCUUAGGAGAGAAAAUAAUUUUCUUAAAUUUUUAUUAAAAAUGAUGUCAGGUCAAGGUGCAGUUUAUAUUUAAGUAGAAAUGAAUUACAAUAAAAUUUAGUUAAAACGAAUAAUUUUUUUAAAUAUAAGAUUUGAAGGAGGAUUUGAUAGUAAAUUAUUUUUAUAAAAAUUAAUUGAUUAAAGCUCUAAAACAUGCACACAUCGCCCGUCGCUCUCAUUAUAAUAAAAAUUUAAAAUGAGAUAAGUCGUAACAUAGUAGAUGUACCGGAAGGUGUCUCUAGAAUGA